RNAcentral lists this ribosomal RNA (253 nucleotides) under uncultured bacterium. Its description in RNAcentral is "partial 16S ribosomal RNA". It matches the Rfam family "Bacterial small subunit ribosomal RNA", at positions 524 to 776 of the family's 1533-position model. The record is from RNAcentral.
UACGGAGGGUGCGAACGUUAAUCGGAAUUACUGAGCGUAAAGCGUGCGCAGGCGGCUUCGCAAGUCAGACGUGAAAUCCCCGGGCUUAACCUGGGAAUGGCGUUUGAAACUACGGAUCUGGAGUAUGGCAGAGGGGGGUGGAAUUCCACGUGUAGCGGUGAAAUGCGUAGAUAUGUGGAGGAACACCGAUGGCGAAGGCAGCCCCCUGGGCCAAUACUGACGCUCAUGCACGAAAGCGUGGGGAGCAAACAGG